GACUAUGGCCAUACCACCCUGAACACACCCGAUCUCAUCUGAUCUCGGAAGCUAAGCAGGGUCGGGCCUGGUUGGUACUUGGAUGGGAGAAAUGGAACAAGCAAUUGAAACACUGGUUGUCUAAAACA
Molecule: ribosomal RNA, 128 nt
Organism: Microcebus murinus (gray mouse lemur)
Lineage: Eukaryota; Metazoa; Chordata; Mammalia; Primates; Cheirogaleidae
Source: Ensembl